This 287-nucleotide long non-coding RNA is filed under the name Sciurus vulgaris (Eurasian red squirrel). RNAcentral describes it as "lncRNA (ENSSVLG00005002617.1)". Lineage: Eukaryota; Metazoa; Chordata; Mammalia; Rodentia; Sciuridae. The record is from RNAcentral.
CUCGCGGCCACGAUAGGUGUCACCCUCUGUUGGCUGGGACGCAGGUCUCGGAUUCCAUCCCUGAGACAAGAAAGACGUGGCGAAGGCCCAGAGGUUAAUCUCCCAGAGAAGAGAAUAGAGGCAGCCAAGGAGGAUGCUGUUGAACCAGUUAGAAGAUUUUUGCAGUCAACCCAGCAAGAGAUGAUGAUAAUGUGAACUUGGGAAAUGGCACAGAAGAUAUAAAACAGAGGACAGAUUUCAGAGGUUCACAAUCUCUACUCUGCAAUUCCAAAAUAAGACAAAAACAG